This 496-nucleotide ribosomal RNA is filed under the name uncultured bacterium. RNAcentral describes it as "bacterial SSU rRNA". It matches the Rfam family "Bacterial small subunit ribosomal RNA", at positions 33 to 507 of the family's 1533-position model. The record is from RNAcentral.
GCUACGCUGGCGGCGUGUCUUAGCCAUGCAAGUCGAGCGGACUUAUGGGGUAACUUAUAAGUCAGCGGCGGACGGCGGAGUAACACGUAGCUAACCUACCCUCUGGACGGGGAUAACCUACCGAAAGGUGGGCUAAUACCCGAUGUAGUCAUCCUGUAUAGGGGUGAUGAAAGGUGGGCUUCUGUUUACAAGCUCAUGCUGGAGGAGGGGGCUGCGGCCUAUCAGGUAGUUGGUAGGGUAAUAGCCUACCAAGCCGAUGACGGGUAGCCGGCCUGAGAGGGUGACCAGCCCGAGGGGCACUGAGAUACGGGUCCCACUCCUACGGGAGGCAGCAGGCUAGAAAUUUGGGCAAUGGGGGAAACCCUGACCCAGUGACGCCGCGUGCAGGAAGGAGCCCUUCGGGGUGUAAACUGCUGUCGUGUAGGGAGAAGGGUACUAAGGUGAACAAUCUUAGUACUUGACGGUACUACAGGAGGAAGCCCAGGCUAACCUCGUG